This is a non-coding RNA of Pelobates cultripes (western spadefoot toad), 616 nucleotides long. NCBI's taxonomy places the organism in Eukaryota, Metazoa, Chordata, Amphibia, Anura, Pelobatidae. The record is from the annotation of a GenBank genome assembly.
UGAAAAUGUCAUUUUAUCUGGCUGAGCCGCCAUGAUGGAUUAGACUCUAUUGUUAUCUGACCAACUGCUGCUCAGCCUAACUUGCUGCCGCUGUUAUUGCCUUGUGUGAACCUGCAGCGGCAGCAAGUUAGGUUGAGCAGCAGUUGGUUAGAUAACAGUAAACGAGGCUGACCCAACAUGGCCGCUCAGCCAGGUUAAAAAAUAUCAGUUUCAUUAAAUGUAAUAAACUUAAUAAAAAAUGAAAAGUAAAUAUUUGAUGACAGUUGUCCUUUAAUUCUUUCUAUUGGACCCAUUGCGAACUUACGUUUAGUAAAUACGCUCCUUCAUUGAUGUUAAUUUUGUAUUUGUGUUAACCCUAUCCCUGCCGCUGCAGGAAUGCAUGGUAUAUACACGUUCUGUGUGCAAUAAACCUUGUAUAGAUAAUGGGGUCCCUUUCACCCCCCUCUCCCCCAGUUUCUCAUUGUGUCCCCCUCUCUGUGCAGGGCUUAUCAUGAACAGCACGGCUGCACGUUCACCUCUGUCAUUCCGACCAACGUGUUUGGGCCUCACGAUAACUUUAACAUCGAAGACGGACAUGUGUUGCCAGGACUUAUUCACAAGGUUUAUCUCGCUAAAU